This 5831-nucleotide long non-coding RNA is filed under the name Sorghum bicolor (sorghum). RNAcentral's name for it is "long non-coding RNA (SBIC_LNC012272)". The record is from RNAcentral. Lineage: Eukaryota; Viridiplantae; Streptophyta; Magnoliopsida; Poales; Poaceae.
UCCAUCCGCCACCUUCUUUUGAGCUCGAGCUGCUGUGCUGCAUCUCCGACCAGAGCCUCUGCGAGCACAGAGGUCUCUGGUAGCAGGCCUCCGGAACUUCUCCCGUCAAGCGUACUCUGGUCGGGGUAGGCGGGAAAUUAAGUUUUUGGGGAGCACCUUCCGGUGCGACUGCUUCCUGUUGUCCCAACGUGACUGCGACUGCUUCACCUUCGUCAACUGCUGCUGUUGUGAUGGCUGUCGGUACCAGAAGUACCCCUGCUGCCGGGAAUGACGUCACCAACGACAACACCGCAGGAGGCGGUAGCGACGUCAACAUGACUGGUGGCUCACUUUUCGCGGGUACCGGAAGUGCCACGCUAGGGUAUAAUGCUAAUAUUCUCUAUGCGCUUUAUUUUGUUACUGUAGUUCUAUUACUUCGCAUAAAAUGUUUUGCUGGAAGUAGUAGCAGUAGCAAUUAUGAAGCUGUUGCUUGUGUAAUACUUGUGUUAGUAUAUUGGUUAUCGUUUUUAUGGAAUAAUACAUGGUGUAAAAUGACUAAAUAUCCAACAAUCCAAAAACUUAAUAAGUCAUUUUCAUCUGCUAGCUUUGCUGCAUCCAUGAGGCCACCACCUUUAAAGGGUGGUGGAUCCAACUAUAAGAUAUGGUGAUCCCGUUGCAUGUUGUGGCUUACCGCUAUGCGCUGUGAGCAUGCUGUCAGAGGAAGGCACACGGAACUGCCUCUUUCUCCUGAUGAAGAGAGCAAGUUCAGUGAGGCGGAUAACCUGCUCAAGCUGUCGCUCAUUAGCGUGAUAGAUGAGGGUAUGGUACCACUGUACAUGGACAUGCCUACGGGCAAGGACAUGUGGGAUGCACUGCUGGCCAAGUUCGGAGUUCCUGACGCUGGCAGUGAGCUGUACCUCAUGGAGCAGUUCUGUGACUACAAGAUGGUUGACGACCGUUCAGUGGUAGAACAAGCUCAUGAGAUACAGAUGCUAGCCAAGGAGCUUAAGAACAACAAGUGUGCGCUUCCCGACAAGUUUGUGGCCGGCGGUAUUAUCGCUAAGCUGCCACCUACUUGGAGGGACUUUGCUACCUCUCUCAAACACAGGAGGCAAGAGUUCAGUGUGACUGAUCUAGUUGCUUCUCUCAGUGUUGAGGAGAAUGCGAGGGCAAAGGACACACGUGGCAAGAAAGUGCAGACCGAGGGAGGCACUAGCGCCAACUUGGUGCAGAGGAGGGACCCUCAGGCCUUCCGCAAUAGGAAAAACAAGAAGAACAAGAAUCCCAAAGUGAGACCACAAUAUCAAGCUUUCAAGAAGAAGGCAAACAAAGAGAAGAAAGGUGGCUGUUGCUUUGUGUGCGGUAGCACUGAUCACUGGGCAAAAGAGUGCCCGGACCACAAGGAUAAGCAGCAAAAGAAGACAGCCAACAUAGUUGUUAGCGAGGCUGGAGGAUCUGGGUAUGGUAAUUAUAUACCAACAACUCUUUCAGUCUGUCAUUCUCCUGAUUGGUGGGUUGACACAGGGGCUAAUAUACAUGUAUGCGCUGACCGCUCUCUGUUCUCUUUGUACCCGGAAGGACGAGGUGCCUCCCUGCUGAUGGGAAACGGAACGCAUAUCUGAAGUUUACUUCGGGAAAGACCGUGCAGCUGAAGAACGUGCAGCAUGUCCCUUCCAUAAAGAAGAAUCUCGUCAGCGGGUCCCUAAUGUGUAGGGAUGGUUUCAAACUUUCUUUUGAGUCCAAUAAGUGUGUUGUAUCGAGAUAUGGAACAUUUGUUGGUAAGGGCUAUGAGAGCGGAGGCUUGUUCCGCUUUUCUUUGAUGGAUUGUUGUAAUGUCGUGAACCAUGUGAGACAUGAUGAUGAUUGUAAUAUUUGGCAUUCUCGACUUUGCCAUAUUAAUAUUGGAUGUAUGACGCGCUUAGCUAAAAUGAGUUUAAUUCCUAAAUUCGAUUGGGUCCAAGGUUCUAAGUGCCAUGCUUGUGUGCAAGCAAAGCAACCUUGCAAACCUCACAAGGUUGUAAAGGAGGCGAGGAAUACGGCACCACUAGACCUCAUUCAUUCUAACUUAUGCGAAAUGAAUGGCGUGCUGACCAAAGGUGGCAAGAAAUAUUUCAUGACACUCAUCGAUGAUAGCACUAGAUUUUGCUAUGUGUACCUCUUAAAGACAAAAGAUGAAGCAUUGCACUACUUCAAAAUUUAUAAAGCCGAAGUUGAAAAUCAACUUGAAAAGAAAAUCAAACGAUUGCGGUCCGAUCGCGGGGGUGAAUAUUUUUCAAAGGAAUUUGACUCAUUCUGCGAGGAACAUGGGAUUAUUCAUGAGAGGACGCCUCCUUUCUCCCCCCAAUCCAACGGGAUUGCCGAAAGAAAGAAUCACACGCUAACUGACUUGGUUAACGCCAUGUUAGACACUGCGAGACUUUCCAAGGAAUGGUGGGGUGAGGCUAUAUUGACUGCAAGUCAUGUCCUGAAUAGAGUUCCUACAAAGAAUAAAGAGAAAACACCAUUUGAGGAAUGUGAAAAGAAGAGACUAACUCUCUCAUACCUGCGAACUUGGGGUUGCUUGGCCAAAGUGAAUGUGCCAUUCAACAAGAAGCACAAACUUGGACCAAAGACUGUAGAUUGUGUCUUUCUCGGAUAUGCAAUAAACAGCGUAGGCUACAGAUUUUUAGUUGUGAAAUCUGGAAUCCCCGACAUGAGGGUCGGCGGAAUAUUUGAAUCCAGAGAUGCAACAUUCUUCGAGAAUGAAUUUUCCAUGAGAGGAAAUGUACCAAGCACAUCGAGUAAGGGAGCUCCUGAUGCUCCUGAUACUUUUGUGCCAGUGGAGUACACUAAACAACCCACUACUGAAAGUCUUGAGGAGGAAAAUGAUGGUGUCGCUCGAAAGAGUAAGAGACCAAGGACUGCAAAAUCCUUUGGUGAUGACUUUGCCAUAUAUCUCGUGGAUGACACUACAACAACCAUUAAAGAGGCAUUUUCCUCUCCUGACGCUGACUAUUGGAAGGAAGCAAUACGGAGUGAGAUGGAUUCAAUUAUGUCCAAUGGUACUUGAGAAGUGGUUGAUCGUCCGUAUGGUUGCAAACCUAUAGGAUGUAAGUGGGUGUUCAAGAAAAAGCUUAGGCCUGAUGGUACAAUAGAAAAGUACAAGGCUAGGCUUGUGGCCAAGGGUUACACCCAAAAGGAAGGGGAGGAUUUCUUUGACACCUACUCACCUAUAGCCCGAUUGACUACAAUUCGAGUACUACUUGCCUUGGCAGCCUCUCAUGGUCUUCUCGUUCAUCAGAUGGACGUGAAGACUGCUUUCCUAAAUGGAGAAUUAGAAGAGGAGACCUACAUGGAUCAGCCUGAUGGGUUCGUAGUAGAAGGUCAAAGGGGCAAGGUGUGUAAAUUAUUGAAGUCCUUGUAUGGCCUAAAACAAGCUCCUAAACAAUGGCAUGAAAAGUUUGAUAAGACCAUGACGUCUGCAGGCUUUGUUGUCAAUGAGGCCGACAAAUGUGUCUACUACCGUUUUGGUGGAGGAGAAGGGGUAAUCCUGUGCCUAUAUGUGGAUGACAUCCUAAUAUUUGGCACGAACCUCAAUGUGAUUGAGGAAGUCAAAAACUUUCUGUUCAAGAACUUUGACAUGAAAGACUUCGGAGUGGCUGAUGUGAUUUUAAACAUUAAGCUACAAAAGGGAGAAAAUGGUGGGGUUACUCUUAUGCAGUCCCACUAUGUUGAAAAGAUUCUAAGUCGCUUUGGCUACAGUGACUGUAAACCCAUGUCCACUCCCUAUGAUCCAAGUCUAAUUCUGAGAAAGAACAAAAGGAUCAUGAGAGACCAAUUGAGGUACUCCCAAAUCAUUGGCUCACUAAUGUACCUAGCCAGUGCAACAAGACCUGAUAUCUCAUACGCUGUGAGCAAGUUGAGCCGGUUUGUAUCAAACCCGGGAGAUGAUCAUUGGCGUGCUCUUGAGAGAGUAAUGCGGUAUCUAAAGGCAACCGCAAGCUAUGGCAUACACUAUACCGUGUACCCAAAGGUACUGGAGGGUUUCAGUGAUGCAAAUUGGAUAUCUGAUGCUGACGAAUUAAAAGCCACCACUAGGUAUGUGUUUACCCUUGCUGGUGGUGCUGUUUCCUGGAAGUCUUGCAAGCAGACCAUCAUCACGAGGACAACUAUGGAAGCAGAACUUGCAGCACUGGACACCGCCACUGUUGAAGCCGAAUGGCUUCGAGAACUCCUGAUGGAUUUGCCGGUGGUUGAAAAACCUGUGCCCGCCAUCUCCAUGAACUGUGAUAAUCAAACUGUGAUAAUCAAAGUGAACAGUUCUAAGGAUAACUUGAAAACCACAAGGCAUGUAAAGCGGCGCUUAAAGUCUGUCAGGAAAUUGAGAAACUCCGGAGUGAUAGCAUUGGACUAUGUCCACACAUCUAAAAAUCUGGUAGAUCAAUUCACCAAGGGGCUGUCACAAAAUGUGAUAGACAGUGCAUCGGUUGAGAUGGGACUAAGACCCACUUAAGUUUGCUAUAGUGGUAACCUGCUCUAUGUGAUCGGAGAUCCCGUGAAUUAGAGUGGUGAAACAAGCUAUGAGUAGACUGAGGGAAAAGACCCUUAACUAAGGUCCCAAUCUUUCAGAUAUGCAUUUCUUUUCCAAGCUGUAAGGAAGGAUGGCAUACGCCUUAAUGUGAUCCGAGUGGCUCAUUUGAGCAGGGAUGUUGACCUACAGGACAUCCUAGAAGGAACACACCUAUGUGAGUUAGACUGCUGGUCACAGUCUAUGAGAUUUGGGUGAUCUCUAGAUACUCCUAAGAAGGCACGGAGUUUGACUUAUAUGCUCCACCCGAGGAGGUGCUCUAGGCAGCCUUGUAUCGGUAAAGAAUUUGAGUGAACCUCAUUUCACACAAAACUGUCAAUUCAAGGCUUAGUCCAUUGAUCAGUUGUGAAUGAGUGUAAGCUCCUUUUCUAGAUGGAAGUUCAACUUAACAGUCUCCAUCGAAACACCGGUAUAUCAAACAAGCUCAAAACUGAAGGCAUUAACUGUGUACCUUUGACGUUUGGUGGGGAUUGUUAGUGUAAUUGCGCCAGGCCCAUUCUAAUAAAUAAAACCUCAAAGGCACACAAUUAGUGUUAGGUGCAAAAGUGAUUAGUACCAAAUGGACUAAUAACUAGCAAGGCAAUCAACUUAAAUAGUGAGCCUUGGGAUGCUCCAAUAGAUAAGUUGAGGAGGAGAACCGGGAAGCCACACGCGCGCGCCGCCGAGCCGUGCCGUGGGCGUGGGCGUGGGCGUGGGCGUGGGCGUGGCUAGAUGGGGUUUUGCCACUCGGCCCAACCGAGAGGAAACCCUAGCCACCACAGUCCAACGGCCAUAAGGGGAAACCCUAGCCAGCUGCUCAACCGCCAACUCCCAACCACUUUGUCCAGGUUCAUCCCCCCUUGGGUGGAAGCCGACAGGGGCGUGCCUAUAUAAAGGCCCCUGUCUGUGCACUAGGGUUUCAUCCCUUGUGUGUCCAUUUCCCCUCUCCAGCCGCCACAUUCUUUUGAGCUCGAGCUGCUGUGCUGCAUCUCCGACCAGAGCCUCUGCGAGCACAGAGGUCUCUGGUAGCAGGCCUCCGGAACUUCUCCCGUCAAGCGUACUCUGCUCGGGGUAGCGGGAAAUUAAGUUUUUGGGGAGCACCUUCCGGUGUGACUGCUUCCUGUUGUCCCAACGUGACUGCGACUGCUUCACCUUCGUCAACUGCUGCUGCUGUGAUGGCUGUCGGUACCAGAAGUACCCCUGCUGCCGGGAAUGACGUCACCAACGACAACACCGCAGGAGGCGGUAGCGACGUCAACAUGACUGGUGGCUCACUUUCCGCGGGUACCGGAAGUGCCACGCUAGG